RNAcentral lists this transfer RNA (76 nucleotides) under Candidatus Vogelbacteria bacterium CG10_big_fil_rev_8_21_14_0_10_51_16. RNAcentral describes it as "tRNA-Phe". It matches the Rfam family "tRNA". Rfam says of the family: Transfer RNA (tRNA) molecules are approximately 80 nucleotides in length. The record is from RNAcentral. Lineage: Bacteria; Candidatus Vogeliibacteriota.
GCUGGAGUAGCUCAGUUGGUAGAGCAUUCGCCUGAAGAGCGAAGGGUCGCCGGUUCGAGACCGGCCUCCAGCACCA